CAGUCGCCGCGGUAAUACGGAGGGUGCAAGCGUUAAUCGGAAUUACUGGGCGUAAAGCGCACGCAGGCGGUCUGUCAAGUCAGAUGUGAAAUCCCCGGGCUUAACCUGGGAACUGCAUUUGAAACUGGCAGGCUAGAGUCUUGUAGAGGGGGGUAGAAUUCCAGGUGUAGCGGUGAAAUGCGUAGAGAUCUGGAGGAAUACCGGUGGCGAAGGCGGCCCCCUGGACAAAGACUGACGCUCAGGUGCGAAAGCGUGGGGAGCAAACAGGAUUAGAGACCCGAGUAGUCCCUGUCUCUUAUAU
This 301-nucleotide ribosomal RNA is filed under the name uncultured bacterium. Its description in RNAcentral is "partial 16S ribosomal RNA". It matches the Rfam family "Bacterial small subunit ribosomal RNA", at positions 509 to 809 of the family's 1533-position model. The record is from RNAcentral.